RNAcentral lists this ribosomal RNA (357 nucleotides) under uncultured bacterium. RNAcentral describes it as "bacterial SSU rRNA". It matches the Rfam family "Bacterial small subunit ribosomal RNA", at positions 30 to 386 of the family's 1533-position model. The record is from RNAcentral.
AUUGAACGCUGGCGGCGUGCUUAACACAUGCAAGUCGUGCGGUAACAGGCGUAGCAAUACGUGCUGACGAGCGGCGAACGGGUGCGUAAUACAUGGGAAUCUGCCCUUUAGUGGGGAAUAACCCGGCGAAAGCCGGGCUAAUGCCGCAUAAGAUCUUCGGAUGAAAGCGGGGAUCGUAAGACCUCGCGCUGAUGGAUGAGCCCAUGCCGGAUUAGCCAGUUGGUGAGGUAACGGCUCACCAAGGCGACGAUCCGUAGCUGGUCUGAGAGGACGGCCAGCCACACUGGGACUGAGACACGGCCCAGACUCCUACGGGAGGCAGCAGUGGGGAAUAUUGGACAAUGGGGGAAACCCUGA